CCAGUAAGUGAAUUAGAACUACACUAACACGAUUUAAUUCUGAGGGUGCCAUAGAGAAUGGACACCAAGGUCCCAUGCAGUUUUGGCUUCACUUUAGAAUCACCUGAGGAAUUUUGAAGACUUCUCCAGCACUCUAAUUAAAUGAGGUAUCAUUGCUAUGGAUGAUGGUGGAGUGAAGCUGGCACUAAGGAGUCUGCUCUGCAUAACAGCAAACAGCACCUAGCAGAAUUCCUAGCCUGAGAUGGUGGCCGAUGUUUGCCUGGAACUGGCAAGGAGAAGUUCCUGUUAUCAACUCUAGGCUGCAUUCUGCUGCUCGAGCCUUCAAAAGGACGGCAUUUUUUCCCUGAAACUUUUGGAGAAUGUGUAGCCUAAUUUCAAGAAAGGUUUGAUUGUUUGUGUUGAUUUGUAAUUGCCAAGGCUGUUUUCUAUGUGCCAGAACAGCUGUUUAUAAACUGACAAUUUCUGUGAGCUGCAUGUUCUCCUAAUUAUUCAUGAGUCAUUAUUUUGUUCAUUCGGCAAUAUUUAUUCAGCCCCGCCCUGUCCAGGCCUUAAAUAAGACACCUGUGCACACUUCCUUUAAUCCUCACAGCAA
Talpa occidentalis (Iberian mole) is the source of this 592-nucleotide long non-coding RNA. RefSeq lists it as uncharacterized. The record is from RefSeq and is a predicted model, not a curated record. The transcript is spliced from 5 exons. Lineage: Eukaryota; Metazoa; Chordata; Mammalia; Eulipotyphla; Talpidae.